UGGAUCACCUCCUAACAGGGAGACAACACAAUGAUUUUGAUGCCUGAGUGCUUUUAUUCUUAGGCCGAAAUCCUGUCACCUUAGGUCGAUCGGUACCUCAGCUUUGAAAUUAAGGAUCAGCAGCGAUGUUGAUUGCUUGAUGGAGAUUUUCAGUUCCUAAACUUUGUCUAGGUCACACCCCAAAAGGGAUGAGACUCCUGGGCCAUUAGCUCAGGUGGUUAGAGCGCACCCCUGAUAAGGGUGAGGUCCCUGGUUCAAGUCCAGGAUGGCCCAUUCGGUGUUGGGGGUUUAGCUCAGUUGGUAGAGCGCCUGCUUUGCAAGCAGGAUGUCAGGAGUUCGAGUCUCCUAACCUCCACUGACCGAACUUGAUUCCCAUCUCCAGAUUUUUGGAGUUGAGCUCGAUUGGAGUGUGAUUUAGAUGUGUCCGCUGGAUGACCCCAGCUUCCUGUCAUUCCAAGUUUUAGGUUAAAGCCUUGAAUUUGGUUGAUAAGAUGCUGGGCUCGGAUCAAAUGAUCAAGCAAUUGAUGAUUUGAUUUGAAGUUCUAGCAGAACCUUGACAACUGCAUAGGUGAGUCUGGAAAAAACAAAGCAUCUUACAGAUGCAUUGUUUUGAAUCUGAUCUUUCGAAAGGGAGAUUGGAUCUAGAACAAUGAAAAUUCUUUUGAGCAAGAGCCGAGACUCUUGGAUGUUCUUUGAUUCGUGUCGAGCGAAUCAGAGUUUGAUCUUGUUUUUAGCAAUAAAAACUUGAGAAUCUGCUUUCAACGGCGGUAAGCGUUCAGGAGGUUAAUUGGUCAAGCUACAAAGGGCUCACGGCGGAUACCUUGGCACACAGAGGCGAUGAAGG
Molecule: transfer RNA, 844 nt
Filed under: uncultured Synechococcus sp.
Lineage: Bacteria; Bacillati; Cyanobacteriota; Cyanophyceae; Synechococcales; Synechococcaceae
Description: partial contains 16S ribosomal RNA, 16S-23S ribosomal RNA intergenic spacer, and 23S ribosomal RNA
Rfam family: tRNA (bases 283-355)
Source: RNAcentral